Molecule: non-coding RNA, 204 nt
Organism: Vicia faba (fava bean)
Lineage: Eukaryota; Viridiplantae; Streptophyta; Magnoliopsida; Fabales; Fabaceae
Source: the annotation of a GenBank genome assembly
AUGGAUACAAUCCCAAUGAAUGUGUUGUUAAACCUCUCCUUCCAGAGUUUGAAUUGCCUGCAAUUGGCAAAACCACGAAUUCACGCAGUCAUAAUGCUAAUAACCGUUAGAUUGAAAUUAAAUGAUACUGGGAAAACUGCUGAGGGUAUUGUUAACACUCCGGAAAAAUUGUGGAUCACGUUACCAUCUUGGUCUUGUUUGUAA